RNAcentral lists this ribosomal RNA (253 nucleotides) under uncultured bacterium. Its description in RNAcentral is "partial 16S ribosomal RNA". It matches the Rfam family "Bacterial small subunit ribosomal RNA", at positions 524 to 776 of the family's 1533-position model. The record is from RNAcentral.
UACGAAGGAUGCAAACGUUGCUCGGAAUCAUUGGGCGUAAAGCGCACGUAGGCGGCCUCGCAAGUCGGAUGUGAAAUCCCUCGGCUCAACCGAGGACGUGCAUCCGAAACUGCGGGGCUUGAGUACUGAAGAGGAUCGCGGAAUUCCCGGUGUAGAGGUGAAAUUCGUAGAUAUCGGAAGGAACAUCAGUGGCGAAGGCGACUUCCUGGACCAAUACUGACGCUCAGGUGCGAAAGCGUGGGGAGCAAACAGG